Molecule: ribosomal RNA, 358 nt
Filed under: uncultured Bacillus sp.
Lineage: Bacteria; Bacillati; Bacillota; Bacilli; Caryophanales; Bacillaceae
Description: bacterial SSU rRNA
Rfam family: Bacterial small subunit ribosomal RNA
Source: RNAcentral
CAGGUGGUGCAUGGUUGUCGUCAGCUCGUGUCGUGAGAUGUUGGGUUAAGUCCCGCAACGAGCGCAACCCUUGAUCUUAGUUGCCAGCAUUCAGUUGGGCACUCUAAGGUGACUGCCGGUGACAAACCGGAGGAAGGUGGGGAUGACGUCAAAUCAUCAUGCCCCUUAUGACCUGGGCUACACCCGUGUUCCAAUGGACAGAACAAAGGGCAGCAAAACCGGGAGGUUAAGCCAAUCCCACAAAUCUGUUUUCAGUUCGGAUCGCAGUCUGCAACUCGACUGCGUGAAGCUGGAAUCGCUAGUAAUCGCGGAUCAGCAUGCCGCGGUGAAUACGUUCCCGGGCCUUGUACACACCGCC